CAGCAGCCGCGGUAAUACGAAGGGUGCAAGCGUUACUCGGAAUUACUGGGCGUAAAGCGUGCGUAGGUGGUGGUUUAAGUCCGUUGUGAAAGCCCUGGGCUCAACCUGGGAAUUGCAGUGGAUACUGGGUCACUAGAGUGUGGUAGAGGAUAGUGGGAUUUCCGGUGUAGCAGUGAAAUGCGUAGAGAUCGGAGGGAACAUCUGUGGCGAAGGCGACUAUCUGGGCCAACACUGACACUGAGGCACGAAAGCGUGGGGAGCAAACAGGAUUAGAGACCCCCGUAGUCCCUGUCUCUUAUAC
Molecule: ribosomal RNA, 301 nt
Filed under: uncultured bacterium
Lineage: Bacteria
Description: partial 16S ribosomal RNA
Rfam family: Bacterial small subunit ribosomal RNA
Source: RNAcentral